This 432-nucleotide unclassified non-coding RNA is filed under the name soil metagenome. RNAcentral describes it as "partial contains 5.8S ribosomal RNA, internal transcribed spacer 2, and large subunit ribosomal RNA". The stretch from base 1 to 120 matches the Rfam family "5.8S ribosomal RNA", at positions 35 to 154 of the family's 154-position model. The record is from RNAcentral.
GAUGAAGAACGUAGCGAAAUGCGAUACGUAAUGUGAAUUGCAGAAUUCAGUGAAUCAUCGAAUCUUUGAACGCAUAUUACGCUCUCUGGUAUUCCGGAGAGCAUGCUUGUUUGAGUAUCAGUAAACACCUCAACUUCCAUAUCUUUUUUGAAAUGGGAGUUGGACUUGAGUGAUCCCAACGCUUUUCCUCACCGAAAAGUGGCGGGUUACUUGAAAUGCAGGUGCAGCUGGACUUUUCUCUGAGCUAUAAGCAUAUCUAUUUAGUCUGCCUAAAAAACAGAUUAUUACCUUUGCUGCAGCUAACAUAAAGGAGAUUAGUUCUUGUGCUGACUGAUGCAGGAUUCACAAAGACGGCUUCGGCCGAUUUUGUAAACUCGAUCUCAAAUCAAGUAAGACUACCCGCUGAACUUAAGCAUAUCAAUAAGCGGAGGA